This 495-nucleotide ribosomal RNA is filed under the name uncultured bacterium. RNAcentral's name for it is "partial 16S ribosomal RNA". It matches the Rfam family "Bacterial small subunit ribosomal RNA", at positions 29 to 506 of the family's 1533-position model. The record is from RNAcentral.
AUGAACGCUGGCGGCGUGCCUAAUACAUGCAAGUCGAGCGAACAGAUGAGGAGCUUGCUCCUCUGACGUUAGCGGCGGACGGGUGAGUAACACGUGGAUAACCUACCUAUAAGACUGGGAUAACUUCGGGAAACCGGAGCUAAUACCGGAUAAUAUAUUGAACCGCAUGGUUCAAUAGUGAAAGACGGUUUUGCUGUCACUUAUAGAUGGAUCCGCGCCGCAUUAGCUAGUUGGUAAGGUAACGGCUUACCAAGGCAACGAUGCGUAGCCGACCUGAGAGGGUGAUCGGCCACACUGGAACUGAGACACGGUCCAGACUCCUACGGGAGGCAGCAGUAGGGAAUCUUCCGCAAUGGGCGAAAGCCUGACGGAGCAACGCCGCGUGAGUGAUGAAGGUCUUCGGAUCGUAAAACUCUGUUAUUAGGGAAGAACAAAUGUGUAAGUAACUAUGCACGUCUUGACGGUACCUAAGCAGAAAGCCACGGCUAACUACGU